Molecule: ribosomal RNA, 408 nt
Filed under: uncultured bacterium
Lineage: Bacteria
Description: bacterial SSU rRNA
Rfam family: Bacterial small subunit ribosomal RNA
Source: RNAcentral
GACGAACGCUGGCGGCGUGCUUAACACAUGCAAGUCGAACGAGAGGAGAAGGAAGCUUGCUUCUUUCAAAUCUAGUGGCAAACGGGUGAGUAACACGUAAACAACCUGCCUUCAGGAUGGGGACAACAGACGGAAACGACUGCUAAUACCGAAUACGUUCCUUAGGUCGCAUGACUUUAGGAAGAAAGGGUGGCCUCUACUUGUAAGCUAUCGCCUGAAGAGGGGUUUGCGUCUGAUUAGGUAGAUGGCGGGGUAACGGCCCACCAUGCCGACGAUCAGUACGGGGUUCUGAGAGGAAGGUCCCCCACAUUGGAACUGAGACACGGUCCAAACUCCUACGGGAGGCAGCAGUGAGGAAUCUUCCGCAAUGGGCGAAAGCCUGACGGAGCAACGCCGCGUGAGUGAUGA